RNAcentral lists this long non-coding RNA (240 nucleotides) under Lathyrus oleraceus (garden pea). Its description in RNAcentral is "Pisum sativum (pea) long non-coding RNA (PSAT_LNC012846)". Lineage: Eukaryota; Viridiplantae; Streptophyta; Magnoliopsida; Fabales; Fabaceae. The record is from RNAcentral.
UUGGUUAUGGUAGUUUAGUUCUUGUAUUUUUUUUUUUUUCUCUUUUCUGUUAUUUUUUCUCUCCUCUUAAGUCUUAUUUUUAAAGGUUUAGUUUAUCAGAAUGGGCUUUGGGUUUUGCUUCUUGCAAUCCCAUAUUCAUCCUUGCAUCUCUCAUAUGUUAAAUAAUAUUGUAAAUAUUCUGGUUGCUAUUGUUUUUUUAAGUUUUAAUUUGCAAAACAUGGCCAUAGUGUAUUGCCUCUG